GGGGAUGUUUUGGUUUUGACAGCACUGAUCCGGGAAGGUAAGCACGCCGGGCUUUCGAAGGCUGGCCCGUUAAUCUCAACCGACAAAAAAUUAGCUGGCAACAGCAACUAUGCACUCGCUGCCUAAUCUGCCAAGCGGAUUAGCUUAAUCGGGGCGCCCAGGUGCGUCGCCGACGAGUAUCCCUCCGACUUUAGGGCUUCUAUGCGCGGAUUCAGGGGUAUCAUUCAAGAAGCCUGCACGCGGGGACUCCCUUAAACCGCGCCAAGAUUCAGGGGAUAAGUUGGGUCUUGCCCGUCUUCCGGCCGGGCCCCGCCGACAAUCAAAGGAAGAAUAAGCGUGUAGAAAGCCCUCUGGGACUUUGUUUGGACGGCGGUUCGAGUCCGCCCAUCUCCACU
This 395-nucleotide transfer-messenger RNA is filed under the name bovine gut metagenome. It matches the Rfam family "transfer-messenger RNA". Rfam says of the family: Bacterial tmRNA, also known as 10Sa RNA or SsrA, is named for its dual tRNA and mRNA-like properties. Its role is to liberate the mRNA from a stalled ribosome. The record is from RNAcentral.